Molecule: non-coding RNA, 658 nt
Organism: Camellia sinensis
Lineage: Eukaryota; Viridiplantae; Streptophyta; Magnoliopsida; Ericales; Theaceae
Source: RefSeq, a predicted model, not a curated record
GAUUGCAUAUGUGAGUUUUACAAGAAAGGUGACAAAGAAAACAUGGAGAUUUGCUUCCAUUGCCCAUGCUUGUUUGGUAGAAGAGAGGUCCCUAGUAGCCAGCAUGAGAUUGUCCCUAACUUUCUGUCUCCGUCUCUAAUUAAUGCACUCACAGCCAUGUAAUCGUAUCUUGACAUUCCAGUAAUUUGGAAAUGUAUCAGAGAUGAAGGAACAUAAAUUUUAAGGACAGAAGAUCUUGACCCUACUAGCAAUGGUUUAUAAACACAACUCUCUGUUUUCCACCUAGUCCAAAAUAUUGAUAAGGUAAAUUACGUUAAUUACCUCCAAGGUUUGAAAAAACCAUAUAAUAGGUCUCAUAAAUCUUAAUUACACUGACUUCUUUUUAGUAAGGUUAAAGCAAACAGAAUUAAUGCAAGUAAUAGAUUGAGGAAAAAUCAAGGGUAAAAAUACAUCAAUUUAAAAGAGAUGAUAAUAAUAUUUUCAUCCACACGAUUUAAGGAAUGAUGGAUAGUGUUAUAUGAAAUAAACAUUAUGAAAACAAAGUGUAGUUAUGUCAACUUUGUGAAGCUUGAUGUAUUUUUUACAACCUCGAGAAAAAUUAGUGUAAUUUACCCAUAUUUUGAUAUAACAUGUUUAAAAGGCCAAAAAAAAAAAAAAA